CCCAUCUCUGCCCUGAUUGGCUACACCCCAUCGGGAGCCCUCCAGUCCCUGCUCGACUCUUACUGGCUCCCUCAGGUUCUCGCGCGCUCUCCUUCUAAAUCCCGAAGAAGCCUUGGCUGCUGCAACGGAAUUCCCACUCUCUGUGGAAAGGUCUUCUACAAGCCUUCAACUCCUCAAGUUACUUUUCUUUCUAGAAACCCCAAACCGGCAAGUCUGUGACUUAUUUUAACCAGCCCUCCACGCUUUUGAGCUGGACUUCAAAGACCCAUCUGUGAAUUUCAAAAUUUUGCAGUUACAUUUACUUUUGUGUAGUGUUGAUGUCACAUCAAAACUUUGCAACCAGGACCACACCUGUGGUCCAGGAGGAGUGCUUCUGCGCCAAAACCCACUUGAGGCCACAUUGGACGAACAGGUUAUUGAUUCUGUUUGGUAGAUAAAUGGUGACCUGAAUUGUGGCAUGUUGGCAAAUAAACAGGAUAUCUAGUUAAAGUUGAUUUCCAAAUAAACUUUUUUAGUGUAAGUAUGUCCCAAAUAUUGCACAGGACGUGAACAUACACUAAAAACUUAUUUGCUGUUUAUACACUGAUAAUAUAGACGGUGUCCUGUAUAUAAUCUGACUCAGCCUUUGGGCAAACUCUUGUUAAAUGUUCAAUUACUUUGGCUUAUUAAGUAAUAGCAAUGGACAAGUCUGAUUUAUCUCUGGAACUCAAAUGAAUUUUGUAGCUCUGACUUUAAAAGGACAAGGCAGCUGUAGCUUUGGCUUAUGAACAAAUGAAAAAACCAAAUGAUAUUAUUUUGAGUUAUCUCUGAAGAACAAGAGAAGGGCUAACAUGUUUCUUAAAAAUAAGGCUAUCAAAAAAAUGUUAACUAUUCACAAAGGAAAUCAGCCUUGCAGAGCUGAGUAUCUGUUGUUCAGCUAUGCUACAGAAGAGGAUGUUGGACCUUGUGAAACAAUUCUCAGAGGAAACAGCAGAGAGAAAGGAAGAUUGCCGAUGUCCUAGCUACUCUUGGGAAAGUGUCUGUAAGUUCCUUCAAUGCUGUAAGAAAUACUUAAGCCACUAAGGUUAAAUUAUUGGCAUAAAUAAAUAGAGGGGAAGGGUAAAACCUACGUGGCAAAAGGGAAAAAUGCAUGGCUUAUGAAGGUAUCAAAUGAUAAAGCGCUAGAAAGAACAAACCAUUGCAAAAUUUUAUUCCAACGGAUUAACUACAUAUUCAAAGAACUGCUUAGGAAGGAUUGAGUGUUUACAUUUACAAUGUUAGUCUGAUUCUGUGGUCAAAAUUUUUGUGCAUCUUGUUUUCAUCAAAAUAGCCUUAUUGAUGCAGCUGCAUUUGUGCAGUUGGGAGUUAAGGCCCCAUGGGUUUCUUGCCUUUCUGCACAUUUAAUUGCAAAGAUAGUAUUUCCUGCCAGGGCAAAGUUUGGGUACGUUUGCUAGCAGCCUUCUUAGGACUUUCCUAAGCUUGGAGUUCUUCCAGUUGCAUAACAAACACAGUGCAUGUACAACACCCAUCUGGCAGCUCCUCUUCGCCUUGUGGGACUUCAGAACGAGGGGAAUCUAUGGAAGUAUGAAGCUCAUGGUGCCUGUUGUGCUUUGAGUAAUAAAGUUAUUUGUCUCAGACUCAGGAAUCUCACACAUUCUGCCAACUUCCAUGAAACUGUGGCACUCUACUUGUUUGCUUAUAACUAGGGUAAAAUAUCAGAUCCUUCAUAGUUCCUGCCAAUAUAUCUCUUAACUUAGAGAAAGGGCUACCAAAGAAAGUUCCUACCAUGAAGAUGCAGAGGAGGACUUUGAACAACACAGCAUCUCUCUCUCUAAAACUAGUGUUUCAAAUUUUAAAUAUUCUAGUAUAAAAAUUCAAAUAAGGCCAUAGAGUUUUUUUUAAAUAACAGUAAUGUUAAUUUGCCUCCAUGAGUCAAGUUAAUACUGUAUGAACAAUAGCAUUUUAUGAAAAUGUCAUGUCUAUUUAAAAAAUUUGCUUUUUAAAUAUUUUUCUUUUAAUAAAAUCCUUCUUUACUUUAUAAAAAUAGUUAUAGAGUGAAUACGACGUACUAGGCAUUGUGUGUUGUGAAGUGUUAUUUCUCAAAACAACUCCAUCAGGUAUAUGUUAUUAUUCCCACUUUACAAAUGUGAAAAGUAAGGUGGAUAAUUGUAUUUCACUACCCACAAAUGCAGUUGCAUAGUGACUAGCAAAUCUGAGAGUAUGGCUGCAGAAUGUGGUUUCUUAAACAUUGUAUGUCCCCUUUUCUCUCCAUCCCCAACCAUAGUGCUGUAUUUCAGAAUAUAAUAAAAUUGUUUACACCAUAAAA
RNAcentral lists this long non-coding RNA (2305 nucleotides) under Homo sapiens (human). RNAcentral's name for it is "HSALNT0042328". The record is from RNAcentral. Lineage: Eukaryota; Metazoa; Chordata; Mammalia; Primates; Hominidae.